Molecule: long non-coding RNA, 2849 nt
Organism: Siniperca chuatsi (mandarin fish)
Lineage: Eukaryota; Metazoa; Chordata; Actinopteri; Centrarchiformes; Sinipercidae
Exons: 3
Source: RefSeq, a predicted model, not a curated record
CAGACGGAGAAAUCAUCACAGAUAUACUGAAUCCAUAUUGAAAUGUCCCACCAAUGCCAGAGACAAAAAUGGCAGCAAUUACAACAGGACAGUCUAGCUGCAAAAAUUGAGCAUGUAAACAGUUAUAAUGACAAAUAGCUUCUUCUGAACCUUCAUCCUAAAAGAAAAAAAUGUGAAGUGGACACAAAAUAAUUUAAAAUAUUACCUACCAGGAGUGAUAAGUACUGUGGCAUAGCUGGAGUCUGGUCGUUGUCCUGUCUGGAGUCUUUUCAAAUCAUUCACAUGUUAAACUGAUGCGGCAGACACAUAACUCUGCACUGAAAUGAUUAACUUUCUAUUGAGGCCAAAGAGGAAAUGCAAUGGAAGGCAACAAAGUGACCACCAUAUUUGAGCCAGGCUAGCCACUUCCGCCUGCUUCCAGUCUUUGUGCUAAGCUAAGCUAAGGUAAGCAACUGCUGGCAGUUAGAGUGGUAAUGAGCUUCUCUUCUAAGUGUAUUUCUCAACAUGUCACACUAUUCCUUUAAGGGACAUGAAUUCCUCUGAUAACCCUGUACAUAUCAUCACUAGCUGGAAACCUUUGGUGGAUUUGACCUUAUGCCAAAAUGAUGCAGUCAGGCGCAUCCUCUCAUCUGUGACUUGAUAGCUGAAUACCCAAACCUGAUUCUUACGAGCUCUACACCGAACUAAAAACAGAAACCUUGUUCAGUAUCACUCUGUGUCAGGCAGACUAUCCUGUCAGAUGUCACAGAGCUGACCUCCAGGAAGGAGCCGGUGACGGUUGUCCGGCAUCGUCUGCAGGAGGCGGCGGCUUCGGAUGACAACACACUCCAAACAAACCACUGAGAGACUGAAACCUCUAAAAAGCUGUCAUGAAGACAGUUUCCUGGAGGAGAUGAAAGCCGAAGCAGCUGCCAGAGAGGCUCUAUUUACAGCUUGACACAAGCAGGGAUGACUGACACUGCAUAAAAACAGAGGCGCAGAGAGCCAUUUCUACAUAUCACCUGUAUAAAUUUAUACACAAAAGUAACCCAUACUCAUGAAAACGGCUGCUGCAUCAGUGAUUACUCAUUAUUACAAUGAGUUUGUGCAGCGUGAUUAAGAUCAUUCCAGGGACAGAAACAGAUUUGACAAUAAUAGAUUGAUUUGACAAUGUAAAAAGGUAAAUACAACACUACAAUCAACUAGUCCUGACAUACAAUUAAAAUAGUUGAGGAUAAAAAUACAAUAAUGCUAAAAGCUUACUGUCAUUGAAGUCCUUGAAAGAGGAAAGGGUAAGAUGACAGAUCAUCAAGUCAGGCAAGACAGGUUAAAAAAAAACAUGCUUAACUUCCUGGUCAUAUCCAUGAUUGUUUCUUUGUAUAGUCUGGAACCAAGUGGUGAAUCGACAGACAAAUCGACAUUGUCAUCCCUGGAGCCACCAUGAUGCUAGCAUGGUUAACCCCUCCCCCAAAAAACAACCUGCUAAUAUCUAUAACAGUUUCUUUGUGCAGGUCAAAGGAAGAAAAAAUCCUUCCUUUCAAUUCUCUAUCUAUAUCACUUUCAUAGUAGUCCUUUUUCUGUUGGGGUCUACAUUAUUGAGAAUCACAGGAAGAACCAUUGUGUUUUGUCUUUUACUUUGGGAACUCACAAAUGUGUUCCAAGUCAGUUAAACUCUAGACUGACUGUGUAAACUGUGCUAAAAAGUGGUAGGUUGGUUGAACUCCUGAAGGCGUCUGAUAAGGCACAUGAAAGACAUCCUGGUGAACGAGCUAAAAAAUGCCUCCCUGUUUCUUCAGAGCCAGAGAGAAACAACAGAGAAGGAAGAGAAGAAAUUAGGGCACUGAGAAAUAUAGAGAUGCGCUUCACUGUGUUUGAUGAGGGAAAAGUGAGACCAGAUACUGAUUAUAAAUGGGAACUGGGGGAUAUGCUGCACCUGACAAAGGCAGGCCAGGAGAAGGAUGACUGGUUUUAUAGCCACUGAGAACAGAGAGAAGAAAUGGAAAAGCCUGAAAUUGGAUCACAAAAGAGUCAAGCUAAAUCCUCAGUUGCGAAACUCUAACAAUAUAUAAAAACCUCCACCACCACAAGUUACACAAUUCUAUAUUUGAAAAAAAAAACAGUCCCUAGAUGAGGUAGAUAAUGUUUUUUAGCCACCUGCUAAUGCAGGGCAAAGUCACACCACUGGUUUUAAACUCCUUACUCUGCACAUUUUAUGCAAGUCUGGAUCUGUUCAGUAACAACAACAUACACAAAGACCAGCUGUUCAACUGCAGAUCAGCUGAACAUUGACAGCUUUAUUUAUUGGAUAGAAGUUAUUUUGAGCAGCUGGGAGUCUAUUUGUCAGAUCGCCCACUGUGAGCAAAACACAGAGAUGUGUGCUCUUCUUUUUAAAGCUAACCAGUGACAUGCUAACACCCUACACUAAGAUUAUGAACAUGGUAAACAUUUUACCUGCAGAAUAUCAGCAUGGUUGCUUUAUCAUUGUGAGCAUGCUGAUGUUAACAUUUAUCUCAAAGCACAAUAAUAAUAAUAAUAAUAAUAAAAUAAUAAUUUUAUUUAUCAAAAAAAAUUUAAGAGCACUGUGCCUAAGUACCAUGGAUGUAGUUAUAAUCUUGUUUUAAUCUAUCUGUUGCGAGCCCCCCAGCUCGAUGGAAGUACGACAUUAAUCACGGGAGUUUGCCUUUAUUGAAGUCAACCUGCUAAACUGUUUCAUAACUUUCUUCCUGGAGACAGACAAGACAAAUACUAAAUGUCACUUCAGCAUUUUCAUGGGAGCUUUUUUUCCAUUACAAUUAUCAAAAUGGCAUUUACUGUUAUCCAAGCACAUGGUGUCUUCAAACUUUUAUCCACUGCAGUGAUUAUAUUCAUAU